UGCGCAGGUGGGCCUGUAAGUCAGAGGUGAAAUCCCGCAGCUUAACUGUGGAACUGCCUUUGAUACUGCAGGUCUUGAGUCCUGGAGGGGUUGUCGGAACUCGUGGUGUAGCGGUGAAAUGCGUAGAUAUCACGAGGAACGCCGGAGGUGUAGACGGACAACUGGACAGGUACUGACACUGAGGCACGAAAGCGUGGGGAGCGAACA
Molecule: ribosomal RNA, 207 nt
Filed under: uncultured bacterium
Lineage: Bacteria
Description: partial 16S ribosomal RNA
Rfam family: Bacterial small subunit ribosomal RNA
Source: RNAcentral